UUCCGUAGGUGAACCUGCGGAAGGAUCAUUAAAAAAUGUGGUACCGAUUAUUGGUACUAAUUAAUCAUCCUACCCUUUGUGAUUUGUUUGUAACGAAUUUUUUAAAUGGGUCUUUCCCUAAGUUGGAUUGUAGUAAAAUACAAAAAGACUUAGGGGAAUGACUUUUUUAAAAGACUUUUUUUAAUUAAACUUUUGUAUUCAUUUGUCUAAAAUUUAUUUUAUAAUAUAAAAACAACUUUUGACAAUGGAUCUCUUGGUUCUCGCAACGAUGAAGAACGCAGCAAAAUGCGAUAAGUAGUGUGAAUUGCAGAAUACGUGAAUCAUCGAAUCUUCGAACGCAUAUUGCACUUUUUAGUUUACUAAAAAAGUAUGUCUGUUUGAGUAUCAGUAAAAUAUUCUCACAAACAUAUUUGUUUGUGGUUAUGAGUGUUUUACAACGAUAAACAAGUUGUUUCACUUUAAAUUCUUUUAAUUGAAUUUUACCAAUUCAUAAAUUAAAAUUGGAUAAAAUUUUCCUUUAACGAGGAAUAACCUAAACAAUUUUAAAUUUUAUGGAUUAAUAAACAUUCAUCAAAGGAAUCAUAUACAUAAAUAACUUGAUCUCAAAUCAGAUAAGAGUACCCGCUGAACUUAAGCAUAUCAAUAAGCGGAGGAAAAGAAACUAACAAGGAUUCCCUUAGUAACGGCGAGUGAAGCGGGAAGAGCUCAAAUUUGAAAUCUUCAAGGUUUGACCUUGACGAAUUGUAGUUUAUAGAAGUGUUUUCUGUUGGAGUUUUGGUAAAAGUUCUUUGGAAUAGGACAUCAUAGAGGGUGAGAAUCCCGUAUUUGACCAUGACUUUCCAGCUGUGUGAUACACUUUCAAGAGUCGGAUUGUUUGGGAAUGCAGUCCAAAAUGGGUGGUAAAUUUCAUCUAAAGCUAAAUAUUGGCGAGAGACGAUAGCGAACAAGUACCGUGAGGGAAAGAUGAAAAGAACUUUGAAAAGAGAGUUAAACAGUACGUGAAAUUGUCAAAGGGAGCGUUUGACACCAGUGUUGUUUCUCGAAAAUCAAUUUAAUGAGUUCUUGUUUUUAAGUUAUUGUGACUUUAUCAGCGCAUUUCUUAUUUUACUUGACUCAUUGAAUGCACUUUUCGUUUAACAAGUCAACAUCAAUUUCUUUGGUGGUAAAAAGUUUAAAGGAAGGUGGCUUGGACUUCGUUCAAGUGUUUAUAGCCUUUUUUCUAUGCCAUCGGAGAGAUUGAGGUCUGCAGCGUAGAUCCUUCGGGUUAGAUACCUUUGUGCUAAGUUAUAGUUUUUAUAGACAACUUGUUGACUAUAAUUAACCUGUAAUUUACUCGCUUAGGCUAUUU
RNAcentral lists this unclassified non-coding RNA (1348 nucleotides) under uncultured Neocallimastigales. RNAcentral's name for it is "partial contains small subunit ribosomal RNA, internal transcribed spacer 1, 5.8S ribosomal RNA, internal transcribed spacer 2, and large subunit ribosomal RNA". The stretch from base 598 to 1348 matches the Rfam family "Eukaryotic large subunit ribosomal RNA", at positions 1 to 631 of the family's 3401-position model. Lineage: Eukaryota; Fungi; Neocallimastigomycota; Neocallimastigomycetes; Neocallimastigales. The record is from RNAcentral.